Molecule: long non-coding RNA, 1201 nt
Organism: Macrosteles quadrilineatus (aster leafhopper)
Lineage: Eukaryota; Metazoa; Arthropoda; Insecta; Hemiptera; Cicadellidae
Exons: 3
Source: RefSeq, a predicted model, not a curated record
GUUAAGAGGACUAACCUUUCUGGACGACAUUGCCAUCGACAUCACAGCAGAUGAGAGAGAAAGAGAGACCAGAGUUGUGGACCCUGGAGGCAAUUACCAUACUGCCGUGAUAAUGUUCCUUGGUCUAACCAUAACUUAAGUGAGAACUGAAGCCUACCAGUAAAAUGGGGGCGUUGUAAUUAAUAUCCUCCGACAUUGGAGAAUACAGGGGAGAGGUGUCAGAGGAAGAGGAGAUGGAGGAUGGGGCGAAGUAAAGACUAAGAUUGAAGAGAACUAACUAAUGGCCUGAUGACAGGGUGGAUCGCGAUGGAGGUUGGGGGAGAGGAGGCUGAAGAAGUGGAGACAAAUCAGUUUAGAUCCAUUCUGUUGAUUAGUUUAACAUUUAUUUUGAACAUCAGUAUUUAAAUUUUUUUCUCAUUUAGAUUAUUAAAUUAAGAUAAUUUUAUUGUUUUUAUGAAGAUGUUCUCUUACAUUUUUAAUAUUUGUUUGUACUUCUGCCUGGUAAAAAAAUACUGUUUUCCUACAGUUACCUAACAAUGUACAUGUUCUCUCACUGAUUUGAGAAAGCAAAGUGGCCAAUUCGCUCAUCAGUGAGACAAUGUUAACAUUGUCUCACUCUAAUUACUUUGUCUCACUCCAGAUUUGCAACGUGAAGGCACAAAAUAGUGAGCGCGUAACAUGCAGACAAGGUCGUAUGUGCGCGAAAUACGUUGGCAGCACUGGCUGUAAAUCAGCUGGUCAGCUGUUUUACUGUUGUAUCAUUAAAUGUCAUAUUAAAAGUUCACUUCUGUGUAAAAAUAUGUUACGUUUCUUUACCAAUUUAUUUGUUUUAUGGUAACUGUAGGAAAAAUAUAAUGUGCAGCUCGAGUGCAAAGUGCAAUUGCCUCACUCGAGAAACCAUUCCUCACUCGCCUACGGCUCGUGAGUAAGUAUUUCUCUCGAGUGAGUCAAUUUAUCACUUUGCUCACUAGUUGCACAAAUAAAUUAUUAUUAUUAUUAUUAUCUUUGUUAAAAUGAUUACUUUCACUAACUGACCUUGUCUUGGGUAAAAAGAGAUAUCUUGAUAUUUAACUAGCAGGGUGCCUGUUCUAUGGGCGGGGAUUGUAUAAGUCAGUAGAAACCUUCUUAUAUUUCGAUACUUGGUAAAUUAAUCAUUUCCAACUUUAUAUAGUAUAGAUCGCUAUUCCUGUAUUGAUGUACU